UCGCAGUAUAUGAAUUCUAUUUGGUGUGGCAUACCUCACAUUAUUCUACCCAGGUUUCUAAAUUGACUCAUAAAGACCAUAGAUUAUAUGAUUCAAAUGUGAAUGACAUGCCUCAAACUAUUCAACUAAAUUAAGUACAGACUUAAUAACUCUUAAAAAACUAGAAAGCAACUCAACAUCCUUACAUAUUUAACAAAUCAAUUUCAAACAAAAUAAACAAAUGAGAGUAGAGCUGUCUAGGGGACGAAAUCAUAACACAGCCACAAAGUCACAACUCUUCAAUUGGUAUUCUCAAGAGACGUCGACCCUUCAUCUUAAAGUCAUUGUCACUUUCUGUUUGUAUAAAAAUGAAAUAUAUCAUGAGAAUGAACCAAGUCCAGUGGAUUAUACUUUCCCUGUUUUGCAAUUUGUACGUCCAAGAAAACAAACUUUCAUGUUUCGAAUUUGCAAGAUAGCAUCACCCUUUUUUCCUCAAAAAGGACCGAAAUAGAACAUUAAACUCAAAGCAGAAGCUUCAACUUGUGAGAAUUGAGCUAACAAUCAUCUGAUCUUACGAAAUAUCUAAAAAUUAUUGACGACGCACAGAAGGUAUAAGCCAUACAAGAAUCAAGUAAAAUGGCAAAGCUCAUCAAACAAGGCCCAGAAUCAGUAAACAACAAAGCAAAAAUAUGAAUCAAAGCCAUCGAAAGGAACUGUUUAGGUAUUCUAGGUCUCGAUUCGUGUCAAACCCCUAGGUUCAUUCUUAAUUGAAUUCAAAAUUCCAGGACAUAAGGACAACCUGAAUUGGUGAGCCAAGACAAUUAAAAGGGCACUCAAGCACAAAAAAAAUGUUAAAUAAGGCAGCUGGACUAUGGCAAUUUCAACAGAAAUCAAUGCGAUUUUGUACCUAAAAUACAAUGCUGAUCAGAAAUGACAAAGGCAUGCAGCUCGACUGGAAAAUGCAAAUUUAUCUCAAAGGAAAGCAAAUCUGCAAUAUUACACAGGCUUCAUAUGAUGUUCUGUUAAAGAAGUUCAGUGACAGAAUUCACAUGCGAAAAAAAACAUGAACACCCACUGGUCCUUUCAACAUGGUGAGCCUCAAAGAUCAAUUAUUAUCAAAGGGGAACUUCAACAGCUUUAAACUAGCAAAAACAUGCAGAAAUGAUCAUAAAUUCAAAGAAAGGGGAAACACUUUAGUGAUCCAUGUAUAUAUAUUGAGACCAAGACAAAGAUACGAGCAGAUAUCCUUGAAUAUCAAAGCAUGUCAUAUACAACAGAAGAAACACAGGGAAAGCUCGUUUAUGAAACGAUCAGUCCUUCGACAUGAAAGCAGUCCAUGAACAUAGACCAAUGAAUCAGAAUUACUGCACACUAUUAACACCAGCACGGAUUAUAUUCCAACAGUUGAAACCUUGAACUUUCAUGAAUAAUCACAAAACUUCCCUUUUGCUUCCUCAUAAGAAAAAAAAAUAUGAACUUAAUUACAUUUUUAGGAAUUCAUGGUUAGCUCAAUCUCACAUAACUGAACCUCAAACUUCAAUUUUAAGUCCAAACAAUGGCAACCAACAGACUUGAACCAAGUUUUCAGCUACAAAACAUCGGAGAAAAUCAACAUAACUCAACAGACUUUGCAAAAAUCUCAACUAGUCACAAAUCUAUAAGAAACUACACUCGAACUCAUUAAUAAAGCUCAAAUGAUAGCAACAAUGAAAUACAAACUCAGAAAUUCCAUAGCUUAAGAACUGCCAAAAAACAGAGUUACAUGAUGAAAUAGAAAAUCAAACCUGAAGUUGCAAAAAACCUCUGUUAAUAGUUACAGCCUUAAUAAUAUGCCUUUUUCCUUCGAAUACUAGCGAGGUUUAGCAGCAAUUCAGCAAGACAAUAGUAGAAAACCAAGCUUGAACUUCAAUUUUAUCUCCUUGGAACUCAAAUUCGGAUUCAGAAAAAUAAAAAAUUGUACAUAUGUUUCUCAUAAACUUUGAAAGAAAUCUUCAAAUAAGAAAAAACAAAUCCAAUUAAAGAACAGAAAACUAGAAGUUAAAGAGACCUUUCAACUUUUCUCUCCAAAUUCGUUACCAGCCUCCUUUCAAAAUUGGAUAGAACUUCUUUUUAAAGACAAAUUUCUUAUAAAUGUGGGGCUUGGAUUGAGUAAAAUCGAUCCAACGCCUCACACUCAUCCAGCAAAUCGUUCCCAGAAGCUUCCAAUCGUGAGAUAAAACUCAAUGUCGAGCGAGUGGGAGGAGAGCAAAAUAUUGGCGUCAGACCAUUAGAAAUGGUGAGAUGAGAGAAGGAGGGACGCGUGGAUUAGGGAUUUGGGAUUCACUCGCACGAAUUUGAAUGGAAUCUGGAGCUUGGUUCACGUGUUCUUCGGAGAAGAAAAACAGUAUGCGUUUGAU
Molecule: long non-coding RNA, 2375 nt
Filed under: Nicotiana benthamiana
Lineage: Eukaryota; Viridiplantae; Streptophyta; Magnoliopsida; Solanales; Solanaceae
Description: long non-coding RNA (NBEN_LNC032339)
Source: RNAcentral